AUGGUGGCUUGUGGGCGGAUGUUUCUCAGACCUAAGUUGUUGCCGCUGGACCGUGGUUACAUUCAUCCUAGCUUGGAGGAAAUGGUGCGGGAAGAUAUGCAUGUGCUGGGCGAAGAAGUGGACGAAGGCCGAAGUAGCAAUCUCUGCCUCCCUAUCGCUGCGUCCUGCUCCUCACUAUGUCACCUUAGUCAUUGCCGCCUUAUCCCUCAUGCUGCUGAUGUGAAUCUGCCCUACUCUUCUUCUCCUAGACUGCUCGAGCGCUUCAGCGGGUGCCUUGCCGACGACAGGGAAGGAAGGACCAGACCAAGAAAUUGA
Molecule: ribosomal RNA, 315 nt
Filed under: Triticum aestivum (bread wheat)
Lineage: Eukaryota; Viridiplantae; Streptophyta; Magnoliopsida; Poales; Poaceae
Description: partial small subunit ribosomal RNA
Source: RNAcentral